GACGAACGCUGGCGGCGUGCCUAAUACAUGCAAGUUGAGCGCUGAAGGUUGGUACUUGUACCAACUGGAUGAGCAGCGAACGGGUGAGUAACGCGUGGGGAAUCUGCCUUUGAGCAGGGGACAACAUUUGGAAACGAAUGCUAAUACCGCAUAAAAACUUUAAACACAAGUUUUAAGUUUGAAAGAUGCAAUUGCAUCACUCAAAGAUGAUCCCGCGUUUUAUUAGCUAGUUGGUGAGGUAAAGGCUCACCAAGGCGAUGAUACAUAACCGACCUGAGAGGGUGAUCGGCCAACUUGGGACUGAGACACGGCCCAAACUCCUACGGGAGGCAGCAGUAGGGAAUCUUCGGCAAUGGAGGAAAGUCUGACCGAGCAACGCCGCGUGAGUGAAGAAGGUUUUCGGAUCGUAAAACUCUGUUGGUAGAGAAGAACGUUGGUGAGAGUGGAAAGCUCACCAAGUGACGGUAACUACCCAGAAAGGGACGGCUAACUACGUG
This 497-nucleotide ribosomal RNA is filed under the name uncultured bacterium. Its description in RNAcentral is "partial 16S ribosomal RNA". It matches the Rfam family "Bacterial small subunit ribosomal RNA", at positions 28 to 507 of the family's 1533-position model. The record is from RNAcentral.